Molecule: ribosomal RNA, 477 nt
Filed under: Candidatus Scalindua brodae
Lineage: Bacteria; Pseudomonadati; Planctomycetota; Candidatus Brocadiia; Candidatus Brocadiales; Candidatus Scalinduaceae
Description: bacterial SSU rRNA
Rfam family: Bacterial small subunit ribosomal RNA
Source: RNAcentral
UUCGCAAUGCCCGAAAGGGUGACGAAGCGACGCCGCGUGGGUGAGGAAGGCCCUCGGGUUGUAAGGCCCUGUCAGGAGUUAAGAAAUGUAGAUACGCUAAUAUCGUAUCUAUUUGACAAAGGCUCCAAAGGAAGCCACGGCUAACUCUGUGCCAGCAGCCGCGGUAAUACAGAGGUGGCAAGCGUUGUUCGGAAUUAUUGGGCGUAAAGAGCACGUAGGUGGAUUUGUAAGUCAGAUGUGAAAGCCUUCUGUUCAAAGGAAGAACGGCAUCUGAAACUGCGGAUCUUGAGUGUAGGAGGGGAGAGUGGAACUUCUGGUGGAGCGGUGAAAUGCGUAGAUAUCAGAAGGAACGUCGGCGGCGAAAGCGACUCUCUGGCCUAUUACUGACACUGAGUGUGCGAAAGUUAGGGGAGCAAACGGGAUUAGAUACCCCGGUAGUCCUAACCGUAAACGAUGGGCACUAAGUAGAGGGGUUUU